Molecule: long non-coding RNA, 455 nt
Organism: Homo sapiens (human)
Lineage: Eukaryota; Metazoa; Chordata; Mammalia; Primates; Hominidae
Exons: 3
Source: RefSeq, a predicted model, not a curated record
AAAUCUGCCACACUGUAGGAACUCUCUUUAAAAAGAGACUCAAAGGCUGGCUUCGCAGAGUAGCGGCAUUUCUCUUUGGGAUACAAGGUGAGGCUGGAACUAGGCUCACCACGUGGACAGGCGUGAUCUGUGUACAUAUGAGCCAACACAUUUAGACGACUGGAUGCCUCCUCCACGUCUUCUUCUCUUGCCUGCCAACUGGGAGAAAACCGAAGAAGACUCCAGGAUCCUGGGAGAUACAGCCAGCAUGAGCACAAAGAGAAGGUAUUGUUUUGCAUUUCAGACCAGCACUAGGAUUAAAAAUGACGAAUGAGAUUGCUGACCAGGGGAUCCAGAGAGACAACAUUCCUGCUGGAUGCCGUAUGAUGAAUCCUUAGUUUUGGCCUCUGCUGAGAUCCUGUGGCUGGCCUCUGGCCCCAGAUUAAGCUCCUAUAGGACUUUUGUUUUCACCCGAG